GACGAACCGUGCAACCGUUAUUCGGAAUCACUGGGCUUAAAGCGCGUGUAGGCGGGACGGCACGUCGGUCGUUGAAAUCCCCCGGCUCAACCGGGGAAUGGGCGCCGAUACGACCGUCCUGGAGGAACGUAGGGGGACCUGGAACUUCCGGUGGAGCGGUGAAAUGCGUAGAGAUCCGGAGGAACACCGACGGCGCAGGCAGCGUCCUGGCCGCUUGCUGACACUGAGGCACGAAAGCUGGGGGAGCAAACAGG
Molecule: ribosomal RNA, 254 nt
Filed under: uncultured bacterium
Lineage: Bacteria
Description: partial 16S ribosomal RNA
Rfam family: Bacterial small subunit ribosomal RNA
Source: RNAcentral